RNAcentral lists this ribosomal RNA (482 nucleotides) under uncultured bacterium. RNAcentral's name for it is "partial 16S ribosomal RNA". It matches the Rfam family "Bacterial small subunit ribosomal RNA", at positions 30 to 507 of the family's 1533-position model. The record is from RNAcentral.
AUUGAACGCUGGCGGCAUGCUUUACACAUGCAAGUCGAACAGUAACAGGCCGCAAGGUGCUGACGAGUGGCGAACGGGUGAGUAAUGCAUCGGAACGUGCCCAGUCGUGGGGGAUAACUACUCGAAAGAGUAGCUAAUACCGCAUACGAUCUAUGGAUGAAAGCGGGGGACCGUAAGGCCUCGCGCGAUUGGAGCGGCCGAUGUCAGAUUAGGUAGUUGGUGGGGUAAAGGCUCACCAAGCCAACGAUCUGUAGCUGGUCUGAGAGGACGACCAGCCACACUGGGAAUGAGACACGGCCCAGACUCCUACGGGAGGCAGCAGUGGGGAAUUUUGGACAAUGGGCGCAAGCCUGAUCCAGCAAUGCCGCGUGCAGGAAGAAGGCCUUCGGGUUGUAAACUGCUUUUGUACGGAACGAAACGGCUCUGGUUAAUACCCGGGGCUAAUGACGGUACCGUAAGAAUAAGCACCGGCUAACUACGUG